Long non-coding RNA from Neofelis nebulosa (Clouded leopard), 1119 nucleotides. RefSeq lists it as uncharacterized. The record is from RefSeq and is a predicted model, not a curated record. NCBI's taxonomy places the organism in Eukaryota, Metazoa, Chordata, Mammalia, Carnivora, Felidae. The transcript has 3 exons.
GCACUGCUGUUUGGACGGCGCAGUUUGCCCUUGUACGUGGUUAUAAUGCUGCCAUUUAAUGUUCGUGAGUGAGUUCUUUCUGCAGAUGAAGUUACUCUAAUGAGCAAUUCUGGAUCAAGAUUUUGACCAUGGAAGGCAUUCUGCACAGCUAAAUUCAAGGCCCGCCUCUCCCAGUCUUACGUACUCAGGCUCUCCGGUGAAGGGAGGGCAGACAGCUGCCGAAAAAGUGUGGCUGUGAGUCCAAGGAAAGGAUACGAAACCCUCAGGAAGAAGUUUAUUUAUUUUAAGAGAGAACAAAAGCACUAGUAGCGAGUGGCGGGGAGAGAACCCCAAGCAGGCUCUACACUGUCAACGUGGUGCCCGACGCAAACCUGAGCCAAAGUUGGAGGCUUAACCAACUGAGCUACCCAGGUACCCCCUAGACUUGUGUUUAUUCUAAUAUAAAAGCAACUUCCCUCAAAUCUUAAAGUGAAAUUCAUGCUUUAGGAAAUUGCAUUGUGUUCUGCAUUUGGCUUUGCGUUCCCUUUGACAAGGCGCACGUCCGCCUGGGCAAGCUUUGAGCCUGGUUGCCCUCUUAGCAGCAGGAGCGUGUGAGGGAGAUGUGCUGCUGUCUUCCAGCAUCAGAGCCACCCCCACACGCAGGUCGUUGGACACUGUCCUGCACUCAUCCUGCCCUGGCACUUUGCAUUUCUGUUAUUGUCGUUUUCACGAGCCUUUCAAUGCGAACACGGAAUUCCUAAAAUGAAACUUCUCCACUUGGGGCUAUCUGGUAAUUUAGGAGAGAGAUGUUAACCUGUGGCUUCCCUGGUUAUACAUGAGUUUUUGGGAAAACCAACAACGAAGGGUGGGUGGUCUGACAAGGAGGCCAGAGAAAGCACCGGAUCCCCAAACUUCAUCUGAUUAUCUUGGUCAAUAUAUGCAUGCUGUUCCUUUCCCCCAGCCACCACCUAGGCCCAAAGCCUUACCUGACUUGAUAAAACAGACCCUAAGGACAAUGUAAAAUAAGACAAUGACAAUCGAAAAUGUUAAAUUAAAAAUACAGAAAAACAUAAUAUAAAUAAAAAUAUGCAAGUUAUGAACAAAAAUUAAGAGAUAAUAAAGGUAGAUUUUGUUGUUGUU